This 497-nucleotide ribosomal RNA is filed under the name uncultured bacterium. Its description in RNAcentral is "partial 16S ribosomal RNA". It matches the Rfam family "Bacterial small subunit ribosomal RNA", at positions 28 to 507 of the family's 1533-position model. The record is from RNAcentral.
GAUGAACGCUGGCGGCGUGCCUAAUACAUGCAAGUCGAGCGAACAGACGAGGAGCUUGCUCCUCUGACGUUAGCGGCGGACGGGUGAGUAACACGUGGAUAACCUACCUAUAAGACUGGGAUAAAUUCGGAACACCGGAGCUAAUACCGGAUAAUAUAUUGAACCGCAUGGUUUAAUAGUGAAAGACGGUUUUGCUGCUACUUAUAGAUGGAUCCGCGCCGCAUUAGCUAGUUGGUAAGGUAACGGCUUACCAAGGCAAUGAUGCGUAGCCGACCUGAGAGGGUGAUCGGCCACACUGGAACUGGGACACGGUCCAGACUCCUACGGGAGGCAGCAGUAGGGAAUCUUCCGCAAGGGGCGAAAUCUUGACGGAGCAACGCCGCGUGAUGGAUGAAGUUCUUCGGAUCUUAAGACUCUGUUAUUAGGGAAGAACAAAUGUGUAAGUAACUAUGCACGUCUUGACGGUACCUAAUCAGAAAGCCACGGCUAACUACGUG